CCUCGUUGGAUGGGCAGACGACAGAGG
RNAcentral lists this small RNA (27 nucleotides) under Bombyx mori (domestic silkworm). Its description in RNAcentral is "ovarian small RNA-4837". Lineage: Eukaryota; Metazoa; Arthropoda; Insecta; Lepidoptera; Bombycidae. The record is from RNAcentral.